AAAAAAUUAUAUCUUUUUUAUUUGUAUCAACUCGUAAAUAUUUUGUAAAGUUUAUUUUAUUUCUAGUUUUUUGAGUAAAUUAUAAAAAAUAAACGUGAAAUCUUAACUAGUUCACUUACAUUACCAUUUUUUGCAUGAAAAAAUAUAUCUAAUUUCUUUUUUGAAAGUUAUAUAUUUAUAUAUAAUUUGAACAAAGAAAUUAAUUAAAAGAUUAAGUUUUUUUUUCAUUAAUGUAUUGKAUGUGUAGCAUUCUAUACUCUAUUACUAAACUCUAUUACUAAGAUUCUAAGUAAUAAUCUACCUUUAGGUUUUAAUUAUCAUUGAUUAUGAAAAUAAAAUCAAAAGGUCAUAUUUGCAUAAUCAAAUUAUUCAACAGAUAUCAAACAUCUUGUUUAUAAGUUUAUUCCACUCAAAUAAAACCAUUUAAAGUUACUUUUACAAAUGCAAAUAUGUUUAUCAGUCAAUUACGUUUAU
RNAcentral lists this unclassified non-coding RNA (474 nucleotides) under Monocarpus sphaerocarpus. RNAcentral's name for it is "partial rps4-trnS intergenic spacer". The record is from RNAcentral. Lineage: Eukaryota; Viridiplantae; Streptophyta; Marchantiopsida; Sphaerocarpales; Monocarpaceae.